Canis lupus familiaris (dog) is the source of this 2250-nucleotide long non-coding RNA. RefSeq lists it as uncharacterized. Lineage: Eukaryota; Metazoa; Chordata; Mammalia; Carnivora; Canidae. The transcript has 3 exons. The record is from RefSeq and is a predicted model, not a curated record.
GGCUGGGGUUCGUCCCAGGUACUUGCAGGGGAGCAGCAGUAGCAGCAGCAAAUGGCUGUCCUUGGGGAGGGCCGCGGCGCCGUCGUCCGAUGGGAGCCCUGCCCACCGGCCUCCCUUCCUCCCAGAGCAGAACAAAGACUAUCCGGUGGAUUCAGUGGUGUCCAGAGAGCUACUUUCGAAAGCUCAAGGGCAGACAGUCUCCCAAGUCUUGCUCCAAGGAACUGGCCGGUGCACAAGCUUCAGAGAACUAAGUAUUUCAUUUUAUAGUGUGAAUUCAUUUUCAAUGACCAUCAAGACAUUAAAGGACUAAGAUAUCAGAAAAGCAAAGAGCCAGGAUGUGCAUACGCGACAACGUGCAGGUGGCGUUGAAAAAGAUAACGUGAGGCCACCACUACACCGUAGCUUAAAAAGGAGAAACAAGACUGGAGGAGACAGUCCUCUGAAAAAUGUCUCGUACUUGAGAGGUGAUGGAAGAUAAACCAACCCAAAAUAAAACGGAGGGACGAAGGAUCUACAGCGGGAGCUCUCACCCAGUAGGUCGCGGUUCUACGACGGUGGGCGCAGGAUGGUGGCCAAGAGCAAGUAUGGAAUGUGCACCCAGAAGGAGUGACAAGGACAGCGACUCAACGAUCCACUUGGAAGGAGUCAGUGACAACGAAAAAGUAAGCUCUCUAUCCCUCUACAGAGACUGGUCUGUGUGGAUCAUCAUGAUGCUUCCCCGCAGAUAAGAGGCAGAUGAAUGACUGAUUUGAGCCAUUCAAGGCUUGGUUUGCAGGGUUUUGAAUCCCAGCUAAUACCUAUCACCAGCUACGGAAACUGAUCCCAACCCUUAACCCCGGUCUCCCCAUUGAUAAAUUGGAACUGAUGGCACUUGAGUCAUUCAAUGAGAUGAUAUUAAGUGCCUGGCAUUUCGUAGACACUCAAAUGUUUUUCCUUCUCCUAUACUUGACCGAAUUUAAUAUUAACACGGCACACACGAAAAAAUUAAUUCAGAUAAAAAUGAAGGAUUGGUCAUUAUUUUUCUUUUUUCUUAAUGCAUUGGUGGAUGAACCGGGAAUGUACAAAAAGAUAGACAUCUUUGAUGUCCUAUCCUUAAAGUACUAAAAAUUCAAAAUAAAGUCCCUUAAUGUGCUGUUUUCAAAAUCUGAAUAAAAUCAUACCAUCUACUAAUAUGACUAUUUGUGAAAAGCUUAUUUUAAAAAUACAAUGCCUAUCAUUAUACAUAUGCAGUAUACUUAAAAUUAGAACAUAUACUUUUCACCAACUGCCUAUUUCUCAUAUUUAAGAGUCUAAACUUAAAACUUUAACUUUUCUAAACUUUGAAAUGAGACUUCACAAAAUAAAAUGGGAAAAAAAUAAAAAUAAAAUGGAAAACAAAAGGUACUAGAGUUCCCUUUUGUUAGAUUUUCCUGAAUAGAAACCACACUAAACAAAAUAUUUUAAUAAGAAAAUUCCUUAUUAAUUCAAAGCAAUUGAACUCAAGCUUACUCUUCUAGAACCGAAAUUUGAAAUUUUAGAAUAUUUUAUAAGAACAUUUUUGUACACAAAAGUUCACAUAUACUAAUUUGAACAAAUACGUUAUUGCCUAGAAUAAGAAUUGUUGAACCUGCUUUAAAGAAAAAAUGAUUAACUUAAAAUUAACACAUUGUGAAUAUACAAAUAAUAUGCUAAACCCAUUAUAGAAAACUUGAACUACUUUUACAUAAGUAGGUUAAACAUUCUUCCUGCAACUUACUGAUAUUUUUAAAUUGCUCAAAUAGCUUUUCCUAAAGAUAAAUUCUAUCCCAAUUUAUAUUCCAAUUAUAAAGUUAAACCGUGUGGUUUUAUUAUACUUUCUAAAUGUUACACAUUUCUGUAAAACACAAUUAAGUGCUGUGUAACCAAACAUUGAGAAUUAUCCUAAAGGACCAUAAGUUUUGAAGACUAGUGUACAAAAAUAAUUGCAUAAUCUUAUCUAUACCUAAAAAUUUAGUUUCUCUUCUGUCGCAUGUAAUUAUUUUUCAUGUCGCCCUCACUCUGAUUGGCUCAUAAUUUGCGUUUGUUCAAUUUAUUGUAAUGUGAAUUCCUUCAGGCCUUUUUCUGCUCUUCUUCCCUUUCCCUUCAUUUUGUGAAAUAAAAUGUGCUCAAUAAAUAUUUGCUUAAUUAAAUUGAAUUUUGUCCUAUAUAAUUAGCAGUGUCAAAUGAUAAUAAUCCAGCUAUGACCUCUGACAAAGGAAGAAAAAAAAGCCAAGUGUAGGAAUCUUAAUUUCU